Molecule: ribosomal RNA, 481 nt
Filed under: uncultured bacterium
Lineage: Bacteria
Description: partial 16S ribosomal RNA
Rfam family: Bacterial small subunit ribosomal RNA
Source: RNAcentral
GACGAACGCUGGCGGCGUGCUUAACACAUGCAAGUCGAGCGAUGAAGUUUCUUCGGAAAUGGAUUAGCGGCGAACGGGUGAGGAACACGUGAAGAAUCUGCCCUCCACUUUGGGAUAACACAGGGAAACCUGUGCUAAUACCGAAUAUUGAAACAUAAGUGGCAUCACUGAGUUUUGAAAGAACUUCGGUGGAGGAUGACUUCGCGGCCUAUCAGCUAGUUAGUGAGGUAAUGGCUCACCAAGGCAACGACGGGUAGCCGGCCUGAGAGGGCGACCGGCCAACCUGGGACUGAGACGCGGCCCAGACUCCUACGGGAGGCAGCAGUGGGGAAUAUUGGGCAAUGGAGGAAACUCUGACCCAGCGACGCCGCGUGCGGGAUGAAGGCCUUCGGGUUGUAAACCGCUUUCAGUAGGGAAGAAGCGAAAGUGACGGUACCUACAAAAGUAGCACCGGCUAACUAUGUGCCAGCAGCCGCCGUAA